UCCCCAUGUGGACAAGGCCAGUGGCAAU
Molecule: non-coding RNA, 28 nt
Filed under: Mus musculus (house mouse)
Lineage: Eukaryota; Metazoa; Chordata; Mammalia; Rodentia; Muridae
Source: RNAcentral